UACGGGGGGGGCAAGCGUUGUUCGGAAUUACUGGGCGUAAAGGGCGCGUAGGCGGCCUGUUAAGUCGAACGUGAAAUCCCCGGGCUCAACCCGGGAACUGCGUCCGAUACUGGCAGGCUUGAAUCCGGGAGAGGGAUGCGGAAUUCCAGGUGUAGCGGUGAAAUGCGUAGAUAUCUGGAGGAACACCGGUGGCGAAGGCGGCAUCCUGGACCAACACUGACACUGAGGAGCGAAAGCCAGGGGAGCAAACGGG
Molecule: ribosomal RNA, 253 nt
Filed under: uncultured bacterium
Lineage: Bacteria
Description: partial 16S ribosomal RNA
Rfam family: Bacterial small subunit ribosomal RNA
Source: RNAcentral